Cydia fagiglandana is the source of this 320-nucleotide long non-coding RNA. RefSeq lists it as uncharacterized. NCBI's taxonomy places the organism in Eukaryota, Metazoa, Arthropoda, Insecta, Lepidoptera, Tortricidae. The record is from RefSeq and is a predicted model, not a curated record. The transcript is spliced from 3 exons.
UGUCUUCACGCUAGCCACCCCAAACCACUUUUUGUAUUUUUUUUUGGUCUAGAUACCAAGAUAUUCGUUAGUUCACGUUUAUUCAGGCAUUAAAAUCGUUAGGACCCGAUUCCUUCAUUUUUUUUUUUUUAAAGUGGGGGGGUGGCUGUCUUCACGCUAGCCACCCCAAACCACUUUUUGUAUUUUUUUUUGGUCUAGAUACCAAGAUAUUCGUUAGUUCACGUUUAUUCAGGCAUUAAAAUCGUUAGGACCCGAUUCCUUCAUUUUUUUUUUUUUUAAAGUGGGUGGUUUGGGGUGGCUAGCGUGAAGACAGCCACCCC